GACGAACGGUGCGAACGUUGUCCGGAAUCACUGGGCUUAAAGCGCGCGUAGGCGGCUUGCCAAGUCUGGUGUGAAAUCCUCCAGCUCAACUGGAGAAGUGCCUUUGAUACUGUCGAGCUCGAGGGAGGUAGGGGUGUGUGGAACUUCUGGUGGAGCGGUGAAAUGCGUUGAUAUCAGAAGGAACGCCGGUGGCGAAAGCGACGCACUGGACCACUUCUGACGCUGAGGCGCGAAAGCUAGGGGAGCAAACAGG
RNAcentral lists this ribosomal RNA (253 nucleotides) under uncultured bacterium. RNAcentral's name for it is "partial 16S ribosomal RNA". It matches the Rfam family "Bacterial small subunit ribosomal RNA", at positions 524 to 776 of the family's 1533-position model. The record is from RNAcentral.